CGCGGCGCCCACUGGGUCCCCUGGAACGGGGCGCCACAGAGGGUGAGAACCCCGUAUAGUUGGACCCCUAGCCCGUGUAAGCUCCUUCCACGAAUCUAGUAAUUUGGGAAUGCUGCUCAAAAUGGGAUGUAAAUUUCUUCUAAAGCUAAAUACCAACCCGAAACCGAUAACGCACAAGUAAAAUGAACGAAAAAUGAAAAGCACUUUGAAAAAAAGGUUAAACAGCACUUGAAAAUGGUGAAAGGGAAGCGCUUGUGACCAGACUCGCGCCGGGCUGAUCAUUCGGUGUUCUCACCGGUGCACUCUGCCCGGCUCGGGCCAGCAUCGGUUCCUGCGGGGGGAUAAAGGCUCCGGGAACCUAGCUCCUCCGGGAAUGUUAUAGCCCGGGGCGCAAUGCCCCCACGGGGACCGAAGACCGCGCUCUGCAAGGAUGCUGGCGUAAUGGUCACC
RNAcentral lists this ribosomal RNA (450 nucleotides) under Thermothielavioides sp. RNAcentral's name for it is "partial large subunit ribosomal RNA". It matches the Rfam family "Eukaryotic large subunit ribosomal RNA", at positions 169 to 642 of the family's 3401-position model. Lineage: Eukaryota; Fungi; Ascomycota; Sordariomycetes; Sordariales; Chaetomiaceae. The record is from RNAcentral.